RNAcentral lists this transfer RNA (71 nucleotides) under Fukomys damarensis (Damara mole-rat). It matches the Rfam family "tRNA". Rfam says of the family: Transfer RNA (tRNA) molecules are approximately 80 nucleotides in length. Their secondary structure includes four short double-helical elements and three loops (D, anti-codon, and T loops). Lineage: Eukaryota; Metazoa; Chordata; Mammalia; Rodentia; Bathyergidae. The record is from Rfam by way of RNAcentral.
AGGGUUGUAGCUCAACAAUACAGCACGUGCCUGGCAAGUGCAAGGCCUGAGUUUGAUUCUCAGUAUCCCCC